Molecule: transfer RNA, 87 nt
Filed under: Rickettsiales endosymbiont of Peranema trichophorum
Lineage: Bacteria; Pseudomonadati; Pseudomonadota; Alphaproteobacteria; Rickettsiales
Rfam family: tRNA
About the family: Transfer RNA (tRNA) molecules are approximately 80 nucleotides in length.
Source: Rfam by way of RNAcentral
GGAUGGAUGGCCGAGCGGUUUAAGGCACCGGUCUUGAAAACCGACGCACGUGCGAGCGUGCCGUGGGUUCGAAUCCCACUCCAUCCG